RNAcentral lists this ribosomal RNA (111 nucleotides) under Escherichia coli. Lineage: Bacteria; Pseudomonadati; Pseudomonadota; Gammaproteobacteria; Enterobacterales; Enterobacteriaceae. The record is from RNAcentral.
UGGCGGCCGUAGCGCGGUGGUCCCACCUGACCCCAUGCCGAACUCAGAAGUGAAACGCCGUAGCGCCGAUGGUAGUAUGGGGUCUCCCCAUGCGAGAGUAGGGAACUGCCA